This 85-nucleotide transfer RNA is filed under the name Felis catus (domestic cat). It matches the Rfam family "tRNA". From Rfam's summary of the family: Transfer RNA (tRNA) molecules are approximately 80 nucleotides in length. Their secondary structure includes four short double-helical elements and three loops (D, anti-codon, and T loops). The record is from Rfam by way of RNAcentral. RNAcentral also lists the same sequence under 4 other names. Lineage: Eukaryota; Metazoa; Chordata; Mammalia; Carnivora; Felidae.
GCCUGGGUGGCUCAGUUGGUUAAGCAUCUGACUUCGGCUCAGGUCAUGAUCUCACAGUUGGUGGGUUUGAGCCCCGCAUCGGGCU